CUUUUAGUCUCUACUACGAUUCUCAGCCGAGGCUUGCAGCCUAGAACCUGUACUCCUUCCCUUUAACUCUUCUGACUCGUCAUGUCCUCUCGCCGUCUACUUAUCGCUUUAUCGGCACUCCAUGACGACAUCGGCACAAUACACUCGAAUCACGAACAGGCGGCCACUAAGGAAGGGAUCAUAGAGCCCUUUGUAACUCACUCGACACCAUAGGCCGUCGCCUGGUUAUCAAUUGUGAGACACUCUACUUGCGAGCUGUUCCAACUUCUUGGAUGCUCUGGCAGAUGUCUUUCAGCACAGCGAGUCCUGUUGUGCAUCGUACUAGUAAAUUAGGCUGUAGAUGGAGCCUUCGGACCUAGAAGAAACUGUGUCGUCAACGAGGCUUACGUCUCUGAUGAUGAAACCCAAUACAGCUGCUGCAACAUUCUAGUACAGACAUGUAGCGCUGUCUCCUUCACAUCAGAUGAAAACCACUCAUCUAGGGAUCUCUACAAUUUGGCAGCCCAUCACACAAUACAAUGUUAUUAAUCCAAGGUUUGACGCAUUAUAGAAAGGCGGUGAUGAAGGAGAAGUCAGCGUCUUCAAGUACGCCGGAUCCGUCCUUUUGGAUCCCCUUAAUUCGCCCUCAUCAAUCUAGCGAGCCGCGAACUUUUGGGCUCUUCGACGGCGUACAAACUCGCCGAAUGGAUGAAGCAGGAGCUCGUCAUUCGAGCGUGAGCUUCUCUUUCUCAGCUUUGUCCACAGCACAUAUAUAUCAGGCCCAAUUUCUGGGUUAGGCACCCUUAACGCCAUCUUCUACUUCCCAUUCUCCACCUUUCUUCGAAUUCUAACACCUUUCACCCCAACGCAUGCAUCUUGGAUGUCCUCUACUGGGUGAUGUGUCUUCUCAGGAAAUUCCUAGAGUAGCAUCGUCAGCUGAAACGGCGAUGGGUUGUUGAAAGGCUGUCUAUUUUUUGGGACAUAUAUAUGAUCCCAGGAAAAUUCAAGUAAACCUUACCUUGUCAAUACCAAUAUCUCCAUCAGCGAGCUCUUGCGGCUAAUCAUGAACCCCAAUACGACGCUACCUCGGUCGCCGGUUUAUAGAAGAAGGGCAUGACGAUGAUGGGCAGCAAAGAGGGCAGAGGGUGAUGAAAGGUUCAGCUACUCCCAAGACGUUACAAGACAUCAAUGGGGAUCGAUGAGCCUGAAGCACCUGGAGCGGAGUCGUCGUUGAGCGAUGACAUGCUGGCAAGAUGGAGAAGGAUAGUUUUAUGAAUGGAACUUUGAAGGUGUAUUUGUGUAACUGAAUUGAAACACCCCUCCAGAUAUCCUUGGCGCCUUCUUCUCCACAGCCUCCGCAACCUUUACAAGUCAGCCAACGCACCUCUUCCAACAAAAACCAGCGGGCAUCGUGUCCGAGACAGAUGUACGUACUGGCUACCUGGCAUGCAUCUCUGUCGCCAGGAAAGUAAACUUUGAGGUCAUAGUCGACAUAACGCAGUGCACUCGAUUUGUGUACCCACAAGUGGUUCCUCGUCAUACCAGACUGCGUUAGGCCCUCAAGCUCGACAACAGCCCUCUUAACAUGGUUAAGGUAGUGGUGGAUUAUUCGUUGAUGAUGACAUGGCAGUGUCGGGCCCCAGAGUUGCGAGUGCGGCACAGUUCAUCGUGCUUCUGAGUCAUGAUGCCCACAGAAAGUAGAUCUAACCAGCGUCCUGUCAUGCAGACCAACAGCCACCUCCUGGUCGAUAGGAGGAGUGAUUGGAAAAGAGGGAUGCAGGACAGCUUGGCGCAGCCCAGUCUGGACAUGUUUCCAGUGAGGCGUUUGUGUUUUUCAAUGUCACUGGAGGAUUGUAAGAGCCGUUUCACACUGGGCCUCUCAGAGGGCGCCGCAUUGUAUGCGCUAAGGAAUGGGAGAGGUGGGUUCCGCAUUAGAAUAGAUAAAUCGGAGAUCGUGAAGAAGGGGAUCAGAGGUUCCGCAUUUAGAAGUUGCAUGCCUCCUGACGACCGACAACCUAUCACUGAAAUAGCUUAUUUUCUCUGUCGUCACUCAUUUUGAGAGGUAAUCUGUUCCGUAUCUCACUCAGGGUCCUGUAGAAGGGACAAGAUAUCUUGAACGACAGAUCUCUCAUUCAGUAUACGGCGACUCAAAACCGCAAGAGGGUCAUUGGUUGUUGAUGUGGCAUUGAGCUUAUCUCGUUCCUUGACUGGAUAGUUCCUCCUGCAGUGACUCCAGCAAAUAUCGCCAUCUGUAUCUCAUCAUUCAGCACUAAGUAUCAUGCAGCGCGCGGCUAUAAUCAUGUCUUUCAUCCCCAAAACUUGAUGGACUAAAAAAAUGCUGUAAAAAAGAAACGAAAAGUCGAGAGUCCAAAACUAAUCCAUGCAAAUACCGUACAAAACGUC
Molecule: small RNA, 2382 nt
Filed under: Cryptococcus neoformans H99
Lineage: Eukaryota; Fungi; Basidiomycota; Tremellomycetes; Tremellales; Cryptococcaceae
Description: Cryptococcus neoformans var. grubii H99 hypothetical RNA
Source: RNAcentral